GAAGAAGAUAAAGAACUAAUGAGCAUAGAAAAUUAUGAUGCCUUAAUAUAUAAUGAAGAUAAAAAAUUAACUACGAUAAAACUUUUAGCAAGAAUUAGAAUAGAAGACUACGAAAUAGAAACAUUAGCUCUAGUAGACUCAGGAGCACAAGAUGUAUAAUAAAUAAGAGGAUAGUUACACCUAAUUUAGUAAAAAUAUUAGACAAGCCAGUAGCAGCCAUGCAAAUGGAUGGAACCCAUAAAAUUUAUUACUUAAUAAAAACAUUAGACAACCAUUAGCAGCCAUGAAAAUGGAUGGAACCCGUAACAUUUAUAAACAUUAUAUAGAUAAAUCACAAAUACUGGUAGUUGUUUGCUUAGUAGAGAUAGAGUAAUAUUUCUUAAAAAUGUUACACAAACACCAGUACAAACAAUAUAAGCCGCAACUAGGAUAAAGACAAGAUUAAAUGAAAACCAGAAAAACCUGCAGGAAAAUGAGAAAGAAUAUUGUAUGAAAUGUAAAGAUUACAAAACCUGCUGUAGGACUAAAGAAGAAACUAAAAUUUUAAUAAUAGAAGAAAACAAAAAUAGAGAUAUACUAGAAAAGGACUAUAUAUUAAUAGACAUCGAAACAGAAUUAUACAAUUCAAAACAGGAUUACAAAGAAUAUGAAUAAUAAAGAAUGAAAAGAUCUUGAGAAUAUAAUAAAAAUUCUAGAUGAGAUAGGAUAAUCGGAGAAAAACCUUUAAAGCACUAUGAAAAUAAUAAAGUGAUGUGUAAAUUAGACAUAAUAAACCCAGAAUAUAUAAUUAAAACGGCUUCAAUAGAAGCUACAAAUGAAGACCUUGAAGACUUCAAAACUCAAAUUAAAUAACUAAUGGACUUAGGUGUAAUAAGGAGAUCUACUUCUAAAUAUGGGUCAGCAACUUUUAUGGUUAGAAAUCACAGUGAAACGGACUUAGGUGUAAUAAGAAGAUCUACUUCUAAGCAUAGGUCAGCAGCUUUUAUGGUUAGAAAUCACAGUGAAAUAAUAAGAGAAAAAUCGAGAAUGGUAAUAAACUAUAAAAGACUCAAUGAUAACACCAGAACAGAUGGAUACAAGCUACCUAAUAAAACAGAACUAAUAAAUAGAAUACAAGGAAAAAAGAUAUUUAGUAAAUUUUAUUGUAAAUCAGGAUAUUGGCAAGUAAAAAUGCAUGAAGAAAGUAUCGAAUGGACAACAUUUACUUGUCCAGAAGGGCAUUUCGAAUGGUUAGUAAUGCCGUUCGGAUUAAAAACAGCUCCACCAAUUUUCCAACGAAAAAUGGAUAAUAUAUUUGGAUAAUAUAAAAGGUUUUUGUUAGUAUAUGUAGGUGAUAUAUUAGUAUUCAAUAAAGAUAUUAAAGAAAACUUAGGACAUCUACAGACAAUAUUUAGAUUAUUUGUAGAUAAUGGAAUAAUCAUUAGUAAAAGUAAAGAUAUUAAAGAACACUUAGGACAUCUACAGACAAUAUUUAGAUUAUUUGUAUAUAAUGGAAUAAUCAUUAGUAAAAAGAAAAUGGAAUUAUGUAAAAAUUAUAUAAACUUUUUAGGAGUAGUUCUAGGGUAUGGGAAGAUUAAGCUACAACCACAUAUAGCUAAAAAGCUUUAGAAAUGCCAGAUAAACUAGGCAAUAAUAAAGAACUACAAAAGUUUCUUGGAAUAGUAAAUUAUGCAAGUAAUUUUAUAAAAGACUUGGAAAAAUAGCAGGACCAUUAUAUGCUAAGAGCGGAUCUACAGGACAAAAACAUUUUAAUACUGAAUAUCAUAAAUUAGUACAAAAAAUUAAAGAAAAAACAUAGAAUAUUCCUGAUCUAACUAUUCCAUUAGAAGCUGAUUAUUUAUUUAUAGAAACAGAUGGAAGUUUUGAGGGAUGGGGAGCAGUUUUAAAAGCAAAACGAAAUAUAUAGUCAUAAGAAUAAAGAAAAAAUAUGUGCAUACCAAAGUGGCAAAUAUAAAGAGAAAGGAAAUAUGAGCAGUAUAAACGCAGAAAUUUUAGCCGUAAUCUAUUGAUUAAACAGUUUUAAAUUAUAUAUUUUCAAUAAGAAGUAAAAAUUAGAACUGAUUAUGAAGCUAUUGUCAAAUUUCACCAAAAGAUAAAUGCAAAAAAUAGUAGUUGAAGAAGAUGGUUAAAUUUUAUUGAUACAAUAUCAAUAUAUAAUUUAGUUUUUGAACAUAUUANNNNNNNNNNNNNNNNNNNNNNNNNNNNNNNNNNNNNNNNNNNNNNNNNAUUAAAGGAAAAGAUAAUAAUUUAGCAGACCAUUUAAGUAGGUUAAAAAUUAUUGUCAAUUAAUAAGAAUAUUUUACAUGUACAGAAUGAGACCAACUGUUCCCAAGAGUGAAGACAAGGGAAAAAAGCGUUCAAGCCUCACCCUCAGACAAAUAUUUGCAGACAGUAUUAGGUAACCUUCAUUUUAUGCCACAAACCAUUACAGAACAAAAUAAUAUAGAAAGGAUAAUUUUUGGGAAGCAUAAUUUACUAUCUUUUCCACCAUCAAAUAUGUCAUUUGGAGUUUUACCAGAAUGUGUUAUAGACAGGCCCCAGAGAUGUUUAAUUGAUAACCUAUGGAUAACAUAUAAUAAGAAAGACACUAAAUAUUUUGAUAGACCCCAGAGAUGUUUAAUUGAUAAUUUAUGGAUUACAUAUAAUAAGAAAGACACUAAAUAUUUUAUAGCAGCUCUUAAUGCCUUGGGGCAAUAUUUUACUGACAAAAAUCAAGAAAAAGGUUUAAAUACUAUGUGGUUGUACACGGUAAGACAAAAGGUAUUUUUCAAACGUGGAUAAAAGUAUUAGACUCUAUUAAAUACAUACAAAAACCAGUUUUUAAAGGUUUUAAUAAUUUUACUGAAGCACUAGAUUACGCAAGAGGAAUACUAGGACCAAAUUACUAUAUUUCCCCAGCACUCAGACAAAACCCAGAAAAAAUCCGAUACAACAUCCAAAAAGACACAGAUGAAAUAAUAUUUUGCGACCACUGCUCAUCAUUGACUGAAGCUUUCAGAAGGUUAAACCAGAAGAAUGAAAUCUUAGAUAAAGAAAAAACCAGACUUAUUGAGCAGGUAAAGGUUUUAGAACAACGGGUGCAUGCUUUAAAAUUUGAAAUAACGCAAUCUCAGACUCAAGUGGUUCCUCAAUAAGAUACAAAGAUAAAAUAGUCCGAAGAAGAGUUCUCCAUCUCAAGAAAAAAUGGAUGAGAAAGGUGUGCAUUCUCCAAUGAAUGCAGAAAAAUCCACUAUAUCGGAUGAUGAUACAGCAAGUCCGGUUCAAACGGUGAGCGGUAAAGACAAAUCAAAUCCUUUUAUGGCUCUCACUUUGCCAAAAAGUGAAGAACAAGGCUCAUCAAGGUGAAGGCUACAGCUAGUCUGGUUCAAACGGUGACCGGUAAAGACAAGUCAAAUUCGUUUAUGGCUGUCACUUUUCCAAAAAGUGAAGAAGAAGGCUCAUCAAGUCGAAGGCUAUCCAGAACAUUAAUACACGGAGAAACAUUAAAGAAAAAGAGUACAAUUGUUAAAAAGAAAAAAAAACAGAAAAUAGAAGAUGUAAUUAAACGGACACUAGAGAAUUUCUUUCAAGAAAAGAAAAAACAAGACAAACAUAUGAUAAAAAAUCCUAGUCUCAGUCCAGAAAGGUUAAGGUCCAGUCCAGAAAGGUCUCAAAGCUCAGGAGAAGACGAUAAUGAAGACCACCUGAAUUAUCAGGAUGCUUUAGAUCCAUAUGAAGACUACGAUUCAGGGAUGAGUUUUAGUUCAAUAGCACUACAUAACUUAGACACAUGAAAAAAUUGUUAUUCCUUAGAAACAAUGAAUCAAGAAAAAAUAAAGAAUAAUAAUAAUGGAGACAACAGGUAGGGACAAGACAUGACAUAAACAAAGAUGUGAUAGAAAGUAAAAAUGUAAGUGGAAAUCAAAACGUGGACGACUAAAAGGAAUCUCUGCACAAGCCAUGUGAAGAUGGGGCACAAUGAAGUACCCUACAAGGCUAGAAGACAAAGAUUUCUAUAAAUGUUUGAAGUCCAUAUUUCAAAUUCGCUCCAAAGUUCAACUAUAAAAGCAAGUCAAAGUAGAAAAAAGGAUCAUCGAAAAAAAGAAGGAAAAUAUAAACACUCUGAAAAAAGCCUACUCAACCAACCUUUCCAUAAACCCAAAAAACCUUUUCCAAACCACUUUGUAAAAUAUUUACCUUAUGAAUAUCCUAGUAGUUCAUCUUCUAAGGUUGUAAAAUAAAUAAAGAUUGUAAGCUUAUGUGUGAUCGUUUUUAAAUCUCGAAGUUCAGCAAACUCUUUUUGGGUUUUCCGAAAGGGAAAUCCCAUCUCUUGUAAACAUGUAAGUUAUUUAUGUUUAUAUAAGUUAUGUUCUAAGAUAUUACCCCUGUUUUUUACAUGCUUAUGAUAUUAUGCAUAGUUUUUAUCAUUGUGUGAAUAAUUAAAUAUCACUCUUAGUAUAUGGUUAUCUUUCCAAUUUCUUAACAAUUUUGAUGGAUUAACCUGUAAAUUCCUAGGAAAGAACUGGUUAAGAUAAACCAAGUGAUAUGUGUGCUAAACCAUGACCAUGGUGAAGUUAAAGAAAAAAGAGUUAGGAAUGGAUUUAAAUCUAUAAAGAAUUGGAGAGAAGAGAUGAACAUAGUAAAAAAAAGUAUGGAAGGGGUAAUCUCAGUACAUAAUUAUGAUUACAGUGUAACGAAGAAUGAAUUAUAGUGUAAUUAAGAAUGAAUUUAUAUAUAUCUACACUAUACAUUUUAUUUAUACAACAGAAAAUCAUAGAAUCUGCAUAGAUAUAUAUAAUAAACAAUUAUAUCUUAUAAUUAGAAUACUAGAAAUUCAUUUAUAUAGUCUUUCUAGAUAUUACUACUUAUAAGUUUAUUUAGUUUUAGUUGUUUUUUCAAAGAAGACAAUAAAUUUAUUUAGUUUUAGUUGUUGUUUUUUCAAUUUAUUUUUAUUUGGUAUCAGAGCUAGAAGAUUUUCGGACCUCAGAGUUUAUGAAACAACAUUAUUUUGCUAAAUAUAUAAGCUGUUUUCAUAAUAUAAUCUAUAUUACUAUAGAAAAUAUAAAGAAUAACAUAGAAUAUAAAAAGACAUUAGAACUACAACAAAAUAUUUUUAGUAAACCAUAACUAAGUGAUUUAAACAUUGAUAAUUUUAAGAAUUUUCUUCUUUUUGAAAUACAAAGAAUUAAUUCAGAAAUAGAACAAGAAAAGAACUAUCUUUAAGUGAUUUAAACACUGGUAAUUUUAAGAAUUUUCUUCUUUUUGAAAUACAAAUAAUUAAUUCAGAAAUAGAACAAGAAAAGGACUAUGUUAGAUUAAUUAAGAAUAAAAUAAAAUAUAUCCCAUUAGGGUGAUACAUAUGUUAAAACAACAUCCGUUAACUAAAGAAAUCGAUUUUCACUAUUCGACUUUAAGAAGAGAUAUAAGAAAGCAAGAAAUAAAGAAAGUAUUAAAAAGGACUAAUACUCUAUACACGUCAAUUUUAGAAUUAGCUAAACAAACAGAAGAAUUCUAAUUAAAAAUAGAUAGAGAACCAAGUUACAUAGUAAAGUGUAUUAUUAGUCCAGAAACUAUAUCAGCUCUAGAGUGGGAAAUAAAAUAUACAAAAGGAAACAUAAAUAGAAAAUGUAAGACCAUCAGGAAAAAGGAUGCCAAUAGAAGAACCUAUAAGAUUACAAGAAGGAGGAAGUAAAUAUCAUGACCAGGAUUUACCCACCAUCGGGAGUCGUGAUGGCGCCUACUGUCGAAGCUAGGCAAGCCAACCAUUAUAAACAUCUCCAAAAAAUUUAAAUCUAAAACAAAUUAAAUACUAAAAUAAUUAGUUAAAACAUGCGAAAGAUGUCUAAUAACAAUAACGAAAACAAUAUGCGGAAAACUAACAACCAAUCUCUACCCAAUAUUUGGUGUCACUGCUCACAGACAACUAAAGAGUGCUAAAAAUAUUAGUCUGAAAGAAAAUACAUAACAUGUAUGUUUAGUACAAUCAAACAAACUAAAAGAAAUAGAUAAAGGAGACUCGGGCCCGCGAACGCCUGCAAGCUACCUCAGAGCCUCUGGACUGAAGGAUCACUCCCGGUUGAAAGCUGCGGUCCGUAGACUGGGUCCUGACCUGUGCACAAAAGGUACAGAAGCGUAGUAUAUGUGCUGGUACGUGUCCGCCCUAACCUUGGAGAGGCAGUGACGAGGGUAACCGGACCUACCAUAAUCAAACUGUACAGAUAUAUACGAUAACAAAAAAGGAAAACAAGAAUUUAAACAACAAAAGGGAGGGGACAUGCUGGGGGGAAUAGCAGUUCAAUUCUAACUUCUAAAAUUAAGAGAUGGAACUGAAUAAAUAGCAUUUAAAUAAGAGAAUCCAAUGAAACAACAACUAAUAAAGCGAAAACGGAAUAAGAAACACCAGUAAAGUAAGACCAAUAAAACCACGUUGCACGGCACCACCCAUCGUGCUUUUACUCUCGUCCUCACCCAAUCAAUAGUCCAGUAAGGUAAGACCAGUAAAACCACUUUGUACGGCACCACCCAUCGUGCUUUUACUCUCGUCCUCAGCCAAUCAGUAGCACCACUCCAUCUUGUGGAGGAAAUCAAUAUAUACCACUCAUCUUGUGGAGGAAAUCAAUAAAUAUCACUCCAUCUUGUGGAGGAAAUCGAAAUAUAUAUACCACUCCAUCUUGUGGAGAAAAUCAAUAAAUACCACUCCAUCUUGAGGAGGAAAUCGAUAUAUAUAUACCACUCCAUCUUGUGGAGGAAAUCAAUAAAUACCACUCCAUCUUGUGGAGGAAANNNNNNNNNNNNNNNNNNNNNNNNNNNNNNNNNNNNNNNNNNNNNNNNNNNNNNNNNNNNNNNNNNNNNNNNNNNNNNNNNNNNNNNNNNNNNNNNNNNNNNNNNNNNNNNNNNNNNUUGGAGGAAAUCAAUAUAUAUCACUCCAUCUUGUGGAGGAAAUCAAUAAGUACAUGACAUCACCCUUCGUGCCUUAUCGCUCCUCCUCACCCAAACAAUAAUCACAAUUAAUGGGAAAAGGAGUAAACAACAAGAUUAACCACCCCAACAAGGGAGAACAAUGCAACAACAAGUCCCGGCAAGGGAAACAAUUUAACAACAAAUCCCGGCAAGGGAAACAGUUUAACAGCAAGUCUCGGCAAGGGAAACAGUUUAACAAGUCCCGACAAGGGAAAUAGUAUAACAACAAGUCCCAGCAAGGAAAAACACCAACUACUUAUCUCUAGUUCAUUUAAUUAUCAUCUUUCACUUCAUAGCUCUUAUAACAAGAAUUUAUCCUAAUUGUUCACUUCUUUCACAAUUCUAAUAACAAAUGACAACACGGUCAUGCUCGACUCGGGCUCAUAGGUAACUGUCACAAUACCUAUCCACUGACUCCACAUAACACAUAGCAAUUAACAACCUAAUCUUAUUCCCUUAAGCCAAAGUUAUAUUGACAACUUACCUCAAAGGCUUCCAACUCAACUCACACCUCUAGAAUAGCUUUACCCCUCGUGGGCCCACGUGGUCAAAACUCGAGAUUCGAACAAAAAUCGGGUUACCCAGUUCCCCCACGAGUUCAUAUAUGUAAUUUUUUUGAAAUCGGACCCCAAAUUGAGGUCCAAAUCCCCAAUUUGAAGAAAACCUAGGUUCAACCCCAAAUCCCCCAUUUUUAACCAUGAAAGCUUUGAUUUAAGGAUGAAAUCAUGUUAGAAUAUGAUAACGAUUUAAGAAAACUAGUAAAAACUGACUUACAUUUGGUUUUGGGAUGAAAGGGUUUGAGAGGAAUAGUCUAUGGUGGUUUUGGGUUUUGACAGAUAUGAAAAAUGAGGUUUAAGUUCGUUUAAGUAACGGUUACACAGACGUAGAUCUCGCAAUUGCGAGAAAGAGUUUGCAAUUAUGAACUGAGCAGCAAGAAUGGGGAUCUUGCAUUUGUGAAAAUAAAUUCGCUAAUGUGAACAUGACUGGAAAAGUAAGGACCUCACAUUUGCGAGAGGAUGUUCCCAAAUGCGAACAGGGCUGGGAAAAGGAGGAACUCGCAUUUGCGAGAUAAGUGGUAACAAAUUCGAACUGGCAAGGAACAAAGAGGGAUCGCAUUUGCGAUAUUAGACUUCGGAAUUGCGAAGUCUGGUUGCUAGGGGAAAUAUUGCAUUUGCGAUAUAAACAUUUUUUUUGCGAUGACAGAGCGAAACGGGGGAUGUUCACAUUUGGGAACAUGUCUUCGCAAUUGCAAAGAAAAAACUACAGACACCAGCAGUGAAAUGCAACAGAAAAUGAGCCUAACACCCAUCCAAAACUCACCCGAGCUCUCGAGGCUCCAACCCAAGCAUGCACCCAUCCUCAAAAACUUCCUACGAACUUACUCGUGCGAUUAAAUUGCCAAAAUAACAUCUAAAUAAAAGAAUAAACCUCCAAAACUCAUGAUUUUCAUUUCAGGUUCAAAUAUUUUCAUAUAAAAAUCUUCUGGCUUCGCGUCUGGACCGUGCACGUAAUCGAGAAAACCCAAUAAGAGGUUUUCAAGGCCUCAGAAGCACAAGGAAAGGGAGAAUUUAUGGUGAUGACCCUCUGGGUCGUCACAUCCUCCACCUCUAAAACAAAUGUUCGUCCUUGAAUGGGCAAAAGAAGGAAGUACCUGAGUUGGGGAAUAGAUGGAGAUAACACCUCUGCAUAUCAGACUCAGACUCCCAGGUCGAUGCCUCAGGAGGAUGACCUCUCCACUGAAUGUGCACUGUAGGAAAACUCCAUGACCUCAACUGUCGAACCUGCCGGUCUAAAAUAGCCACCGGCUCCUCCUCGUAUGACAGAUUCUUAUCCAAUUGGACAGUGCUGAAAUCUAAAACGUGGGUGGGAUCAGCGUGAUAUCUUCGAAGCAUGGAUACAUGGAAAACUGGAUGCACGACUGACAAGCUAGGCGGCAAAGCAAGUCUGUAAGCUACCUCUCCCACACGGUCAAGAAUCUCAAACGGGACAAUAUACCAAGGGCUAAGCUUGCCCUUCUUCCCUAAUCUCAUCACGCCUUUCAUAGGCGAUACACAAAGCAGUACACGCUCACCAACCAUGAAUGUAACAUCCUUGACCUUACGCUCUGCAACACUCUUCUGCCUGGAUUGACCUUGACUAAAGUCUGUCUUGAAUGAUCUUGACCUUAUCCAAGGCCUCCUAUACCAAAUCUGUACCCAAUAACCGAUCAUCUCCCGGCUCAAAAAAUCCGACUGGGGACCGACAUUGCCUACCAUACAACACCUCAUACGGGGCCAUCUGAAUACUAGACUGGAAAGGUCUCGAGGGAUGGCCUCUUUCAUGGAAAUCCCUACCUCCAGAUGAUGUACCACUAAAAUUCCAGAAUGUCGAGGCCUCUUGUCUGAACCUUGACCACCACCUUGAGCCAAAGCCAUCUCUACUCGGCGGGCCGCAUUGGCCGCCUCCUAAAAAGUAAUAUCCUGCCAACCCCCACUGCCAUCUAUAGACGAAUGGACUGAAUCAAUCCAUUAAUAAACCUCCAGAACCUCUCCUGAUCUGAGGGAGUAUCACUACUGCAUGGCGUGCCAAGUUAACAAAUCUGGUCUCGUACUGUGUAACUGUCAUAGAACCUUGAUGAAGAUGCUCAAACUGUCUGCGAAGUGUCUCUCACUGAGUGACGGGGAGAAACUUAUCCAAAAAUAACUCUGCAAAUUGAUCCCAUGUCAAAGAUGGGGACCCUGCUGGUCUAGACAGACAAUAAUCUCUCCACCAAGUCUUGGCGGACCCCACAAGUUUGAAAGUGCAAAAAUCGACCACAUUGGUCUCCACUAUCCCCAUAGUCCUGAGGAUCUCAUGACAACUGUAUAAAAAAUCCUGGGGAUCCUCCGAUUAAGCACCGCUGAAAGUAGUAGUGAAAAGUUUGGAGACCCGAUCACGUCUCCACAAAGCAUCCGAAGACAUGGUCGUCCCAUCUCCGGCCUGAGCUAUAAUGCCGGUCUGAGCUGCCAGAAAAUCCUGUGUAUCCUCCGAUGAAGCACCGCUGAAAUUGGUAAUUUAAAGCUUGGAGAACCGAUCAAGUCUCCAUAGAGCAUCCGAAGACAUGGCCGACCCAUAUCCGGCCUGAGUUGUAAUACCUGUCUGAGCCGCCACUGCAGGCUGGACGCCAAGGGAACCUGAGUCUGGGGAGCUACCUGCUCCGAAGUACGUGUAGAAGGAGUCUGAAGCCCUCCUCAAGCCUGAGAAGUGACUGGUGCUACUGGCAGCAAUCCCACUCUGGCCAUACUGUCUAUAAAGCCUGUUAUGCGGACAAGGGCAUCCUGAAGAUCUGAAGAAAACAUCACUCCUCCUGGGACCUGAGCUUGGCCCACUGGAGCUGGUGGAGUUGGAACCUCCUCAUCAAAGUCAAUAUGAGGCUCUACCUCUAGAACUGAUGCCUGGGGCUGAGCUCUGCACGGAAGAAGAAGACGCACGUGUUCUCUCCAUUUGCGAAAGAAAAGAGUAGAAUGACAAUCAAUACUUGAAAAACAGAAUCGCACGACAAGAGUGAACAAAGUGAAACUUUCCUAACUCAGUAGCCUCUGGGGGAUAAAUACAGACGUCUCCGUACAAACAGAAUCGCACGACAAGAAUGAACAAAGUGAAACUUUCCUAACUAAGUAGCCUCUGGGGAUAAAUAGAGACGUCUCCGUACUAAUCCCUUAAACUCUACCGGGCUUGUCCGAGAGUUGUGAGGCCCAAGUAACCUAGUGCUCUGAUACCAACUUGUCACGACUCGGAUUUACCCAUCAUCGGGAGUCGUGAUGGUGCCUAUUCUCGAAGUUAGGCAAUCCAACCCUUAUAAACAUUUCCAGAAAACUUAAAUCUAAAACAAAUUAAAUGCUAAAACAAUUAGCUAAAAUAUGCGGAAGGCGUCUAAUAACAAUAACAAAAACAAUAUGCGGAAAACUAACAACCAAUCUCUACCCAGUAUCUGGUGUCACUCCUCACAGACAACUAAAGAGUACUAAAAAUAAUAGUCUGAAAAAAAAUGCAUAACAUGUCUGUUCGGUACAAUUAAACAAAAUGAAAGAAAUAGAUAAAGGAGACUCGGGUCCCGCGAAUGCCUACAAGCUACCUCAGAGCCUCUGGAUUGAAGGAUCACUCCCGGUCUAAAGCUGCGGUCCGUAGACUGGGUCCUGACCUGUGCAAAAAAUUCACAGAAGUGUAGUAUCAACACAAAAGGUAAGUGUCCGGCCUAACCUCGGCGAGGUAGUGACGAGGCUAACCGGACCUACCAUAAACAACCUGUACAGAUAUAUACGAUAACCGAAAAGGAAAAUGAGAAUUUAAACAACAAAAAGGGAGGGGACAUGCUGGGGGGAAUAACAGUUCAGCUAUAACUUCUACAAUAAAGAGAUGGAACUGAAUAAAUAGCAUUUAAAUAAGAGAAUCCAAUGAAACAACAACUAAUAAAGGAAAAACGGAAUAAGGAACACCCAUAAGGUAAGGCCAAUAAAACUACGUUUCACGGCACCACCCAUCGUGCUUUUACUCUCGUCCUCACCCAAUCAAUAGCACCACUCCAUCUUGUGGAGGAAAUCAAAUAAGGAAUUCCAGUAAGGUAAGACCAAUAAAACCACGUUGCACGGCACCACCUAUCGUGCUUUUACUCUCGUCCUCACCCAAUCAAUAGCACCACUCCAUAUUGUGGAGGAAAUCAAUAAAUACCACUCCAUCUUGUGGAGGAAAUUGAUAUAUAUAUCACUCCAUCUUGUGGAGGAAAUCAAUAAAUAGCACUCCAUCUUGUGGAGGAAAUCGAUAUAUAUUUGUGGAGGAAAUCAAUAAAUACCACUCCAUCUUGUGGAGGAAAUUGAUAAAUACCACUCCAUCUUGUGGAGAAAAUCAAUAUAUACCACCCAUCUUGUUGAGGAAAUCAAUAAAUACCACUCCAUCUUGUGGAGAAAAUCGAUAAAUACCACUCCAUCUUGUGGAGGAAAUAAAUAUAUGCCACUCUAUCUUGUGGAGGAAAUCAAUAAGUACACGACAUCACCCUUCGUGCUUUAUCGCUCCUCCUCACCCAAACAAUACAAUUAAAGUGAAAAUCAGUAAAUAACAAGAUUAACCAUCACGGAAAGGGAGAACAAUGCAACAACAAGUCCCGGCAAGGAAAACAAUUUAACAACAAGUCCCGGCAAGGGAAACAAUAUAAAUACAAGUCCCGGCAGGGAAAAACACCAACAACUCAUCUCUAGUUCAUUUACUUCUCAUCUUUCACUUCAUAGCUCUNNNNNNNNNNNNNNNNNNNNNNNNNNNNNNNNNNNNNNNNNNNNNNNNNNNNNNNNNNNNNNNNNNNNNNNNNNNNNNNNNNNNNNNNNNNNNNNNNNNNNNNNNNNNNNNNNNNNNNNNNNNNNNNNNNNNNNNNNNNNNNNNNNNNNNNNNNNNNNNNNNNNNNNNNNNNNNNNNNNNNNNNNNNNNNNNNNNNNNNNNNNNNUCGCUUCAAAACCGGUCGAAUCUAACCACAAUUUACUCAAAUGUAUCAACAAAUGCUAGUUAAAUCAAUUUGGAUGCAUAAGAAUGAAAUUCCCAAAAUGCACCGGGCCCACGUGGUCAAGACUCGAGAUUUGAAUAAAAACCAAGUUACCCAUUCCCCCACGAGUUCAUAUGUGUAAUUUGUUUUGAAAUCGGACCCCAAAUUGAGGUCCAAAUCCCCAAUUUUAUGAAAAUCUAGGUUCUACCCCAAAUCCCCCACCUUUAACCAUGAAUGCUUUGAUUUAUGGAUGAAAUUAUGUUAGAAUAUGAUAAAGAUUAAAGAAAGCUAGUAAAAAUUGCCUUACAUUUGGUUUGGGGACGAAAGGGUUCGAGAGGAAUCGUCUAUCGUGGUUUUGGGUUUUGAAAGAUAUGAAAAAUGAGGCUUAAAUUAGUUUAUGUAACAGUUACAUAGAUGCAGAUCUUGCAAUUGCGAGAAAGAGUUCGCAAUUACGAACUGAGAAGCAAGAAGGAGGAUCUCGCAUUUGCGAGAAUAAAUUCGCAAAUGCGAACAUGGCUGGAAAAAUAAGGACCUCGCAUUUGCGAGAGGAUGUUCGCAAAUGCAAACUGGGUGGGGAAAAGGAGGAACUCGCAUUUGCGAGAUAAAUGGUCGCAAAUGCGAACUGGCGAGGAACAUAGAAGGAUCACAUUUGCGAGCUUAGACUUCGGAAUUGCGAAGUUUGGUUGCCAUGGGAAAUAUCACAUUUGCGAUACAAACAGCGCAUUUGCGCUGACAGAGCCAAACGGGGGAUGUUCGCAUUUGCGAACAUGUCUUCGCAAUUGCGAAGACUACAAAUACCAGUAGUGAAAUGCAACAGAAAAUUAGCCUAACACCUAUCAGGAACUCACCCGAGCCCUCGGGGCUCCAAACCAAACAUACACCCAACCUCAAAAAGUGAAAUGCAAGAGAAAAUGAGCCUAACACCUGGCCGAAACUCACUCGAGCCCUCGGGGCUCCAACCCAAACAUGCACCCAACCUCAAAAACAUCCUACUGACUUACUCGUGCGAUCAAAUUGCCAAUAUAACAUCUAAAUCAAAGAAUCAACCUCCAAAACUUAUGAUUUUCAUUUCAAGUUCAAAUAUUUUCAAAUAAAAAUCUUCCCGCUUAGUGCCCGGACAAUGCACGCAAAUCGAGGCAACCCAAUAAGAGGUUUUCGAGGCUUCAGAAGCACAAGGAAAGGGAGAAUUUAUGAUGACGACCUUAUGGGUCGUCACAGUAAAGGUAAAAUAUUAAAUAUAGCUCCACAAAUGUGGAACUCAGUAAUAGACGUAUGGAAAUGAAUAGUAGUAGCUGACUUCAUAAAAACCUAUAAUGACACAGAUGCAGAAACAAUGUAUAAAUAUAUGGAAACCUUCGUAGCAGACUUCAUAAAACACAGAUGCAGAAACAAUGUAUAAAUAUAUAGAAAAUUUCCUGGGAGAAUCAACAAAAGGCUUAUGGGAAGCUUAUAAAUCAGAAUUUCCUCAAGAUUUUAAAAUUUUAAUAGCAAUGGGAGCAAAUCCUUAUAAUUUUACAAAUAAAAUACAUAGCCCGAUCACAGGAGAAGAUCCAAAUAGUGGAUUAGUAGUACUACAAAAGAAUGCUUUAAUAAAAUUAGAACAAUUAAUUAUAAGUAGUUGGUUUCAUAUAAAAAAGUUUUUAAACGAUUACUUUUAUUAUUGUACUAUUAGUGGAAAAGCUUUUGAUCAAGAUUUAGGUAAAGAAUUAUUCACUAAACUAUCAGGAAUCUUAGGAAGAGAAAUAAAAGAACGAUGGUAUAAAAGAGAUGGUGUAAUACAAAAUCCAAAUACAAAAUGGUCUAUAGGGCACAAAGUACAACAUAUUAUGGAAAUAUUACAAGAAAAAUGUACAAAUGUACAAAUACAAAAACAGCUAAAACAGAACAAUAUGAGUUUCUGUAAAUCAACGGUAUAUAUAACACAAUGUUAUGACAAAAUGAAUACAAAAAGAAGAAAUAUAAAAGAUAUAAACCCCAAUACAAUAAAGAAUAUAAUANNNNNNNNNNNNNNNNNNNNNNNNNNNNNNNNNNNNNNNNNNNNNNNNNNUAAACCCCAAUACAAUAAAGAAUAUAAUAAGAAAAAUUAUUAUCUUAGAAAGUCAUCAGCUAGAAAACCCUAUUUAGAUAGAAAUAGACAUGUUAGAAAAUAUAGAACAUAUAGAAACUAUAAAAACAAACUAGAGUGUUUUACUUGUGGGAGUGUAGAACAUUUAGCCAACACCUGCCCUAAAAGAAUCAACAGUAAGACAAGAAAUUCACAGUUAAUAGAAGAUUUUCCAGAAACCCUAAUAAAUGUAGUUGAAUACAUGUCAGACAACGAAAGUAUAUAUUCUAUAGUAAGUGUAGGUAUAGACGAAACCCAAAUAGAAACCUCAGAGUCAGAAGAGGAAGAGUUAAUAAAUGAGAUAGGACAUAGACUAUCUAGAAACCCCAGGUUUUGAUACUCAGUAUUUAAUAGAAAGCGAUUGUUGGUCAGGCUUCCCUUGCUUUAAGGCUGGGUGCCAUCACGACCGGGUUUGGGUCGUGACAAUAAUCCUAUCUAGAAGGAUGUAUUUCAUGUAUAGAAAAAGAUUUUGAAACAAAAAUAAAUAAAGAAGANNNNNNNNNNNNNNNNNNNNNNNNNNNNNNNNNNNNNNNNNNNNNNNNNNNNNNNNNNNNNNNNNNNNNNNNNNNNNNNNNNNNNNNNNNNNNNNNNNNNNNNNNNNNNNNNNNNNNNNNNNNNNNNNNNNNNNGAAAAUAGAAUAAAUGAAUUAGAAAAAAGAAUACAAAAAAUGGAAAAAGGAAAAGAAAAAUUAGAAGAUAUAAGAGGAAAUAUAGCAACCGAAGAAGGCAAAGAACUAGUGAGUAUAGAAAAUUAUGAUGCCUUAAUAUGUAAUGAAGAUAAAAAAUUAACUACGAUAAAUGUAUUAGCAAGAAUUAGAAUAGAAGACUACGAAAUAGAAACAUUAGCUCUAGUAGACUCAGGAUGCACAAGACGUAUAGUAAAUAAGAGGAUAGUUCCACCUAAUUUAAUAAAACAUUAGACAAGUCAGUAGUAGCCAUGCAAAUGGAU
This 15476-nucleotide long non-coding RNA is filed under the name Nicotiana benthamiana. Its description in RNAcentral is "long non-coding RNA (NBEN_LNC008080)". Lineage: Eukaryota; Viridiplantae; Streptophyta; Magnoliopsida; Solanales; Solanaceae. The record is from RNAcentral.